RNAcentral lists this ribosomal RNA (477 nucleotides) under uncultured bacterium. Its description in RNAcentral is "partial 16S ribosomal RNA". It matches the Rfam family "Bacterial small subunit ribosomal RNA", at positions 28 to 507 of the family's 1533-position model. The record is from RNAcentral.
GAUUAACGCUGGCGGCGUGCAUAACACAUGCAAGUCGAACGAUGAAACUUAGUAGACUUCUUCGGAAAGACACUAAGCGGAUUAGUGGCGACCGGGUGAGUACCGCGUGAGUAACCUGCCUUACACAAGGGGAUAGCCUUUGGAAACGAAGAAUAAUACCCUAUAAAACCAUAAAGGCACAUGCUAGAAUGGUCAAAGUGAUAGCGGUGUAAGAUGGACUUGCGUCUGAUUAGCUAGUUGGUGAGAUAAAAGCUCACCAAGGCAACGAUCAGUAGCCGGCUUGAGAGAGUGGACGGCCACAUUGGGACUGAGACACGGCCCAGACUCCUACGGGAGGCAGCAGUGGGGAAUUUUGCACAAUGGGGGAAAGCCUGAUGCAGCGACGCCGCGUGAUUUAGAAGGCCUUCGGGUUGUAAAAAGCUUUUGUAUAGGAAGAAAAUGACAGUACUAUACGAAUAAGGUCCGGCUAAUUACGUG